RNAcentral lists this ribosomal RNA (247 nucleotides) under uncultured bacterium. RNAcentral describes it as "partial 16S ribosomal RNA". It matches the Rfam family "Bacterial small subunit ribosomal RNA", at positions 523 to 769 of the family's 1533-position model. The record is from RNAcentral.
AUACGUAGGGGGCAAGCGUUGUCCGGAUUCACUGGGCGUAAGGCGCGCGCAGGCGGUGAUGUAAGUCUGAGGUGAAAACCCGAAGCUCAACUUCGGGACUGCCUUGGAUACUGCGUCACUUGAGGAUAGGAGAGGCAAGGGGAAUUCCACGUGUAGCGGUGAAAUGCGUAGAGAUGUGGAGGAACACCUGCGGCGAAGGCGCCUUGCUGGCCUAUUUCUGACGCUGAGGCGCGAAAGCGUGGGGAGC